Molecule: long non-coding RNA, 954 nt
Filed under: Mus caroli (Ryukyu mouse)
Lineage: Eukaryota; Metazoa; Chordata; Mammalia; Rodentia; Muridae
Description: lncRNA (MGP_CAROLIEiJ_G0006042.1)
Source: RNAcentral
GUGGUGGUGGGAGCUACUUGUCAGCCACACCAAAUUGGAUGGUGGUGUCCUACUCUAGUCAUGGGGGGCAAUUUGCAGAGGACAGGUAACUGGAGCAGAUCCCUGGAAGAGUUAAACCCGAAGGAAGAAGCCUGCAUACCAGAGAAUGCCAACAAUCAACUGCCAGCCGAAACAUCUGAACAGCCAGGCCCAGAUACCAACAGACAAAGAGAAAUGGAGUACUCCAGUCACCUAACAGUCAGGAAGAAUAACAAAGACAAACUAGUGAAAGACGAUAAAACACUUAGGAAGAAACCAGGAAGAAACGCCUUUCAGUUGCCACCUGCCUGCGCAAGAAACUAUAAGAGAACUGUAAGACCAACAAUAUUUUUAUGUUCUCACAAGACAAAUAAUUCAAAAAAUAAAACCCACCAUAGCCAAAACAAAAAACGUUGGGAUAUGAAACCAUUCCAAGUGACCUCCUGUGGAUCGAGAAAAUGUGAAGCCUGGGUUAGAAACUUAGAACAAGCUACAGCAGUUUUAGAAUUAAAUGUGGAGAAAAGAAAAGACCUUUGAGAUCGCAUCUAGAGCCAACAAGUUGUGUGCCAGUUGGCAGUUGAAAUAAAACAUUCAAGAUGUGGGAAAAAAAUAAAUUAUAAUGGUAUAGAAAAGUAGAACUAAUAGGUUCUCCUCUAGGAUUCAUAACCUUACCUGCUAUUGCCCUUGUCUUCCCCCAAGAACUUGAAGAGGAGACUUUCAAUCCAUCAAUAAUCAUCCUGAAAUAAUCAUCAUGCUGCCGUGUUGUACCUGUGGUUUUACUGUAACACAGCAAUCAUCAUUGCAAUUUCAAGGUACAUUGUUUGGCAGAGGCAUUUACACCUUCAAGAAGAACUCUUCAUUCUCCUCUUUAAAGACUGAUGAAAGCUUGUUCUGGAAAACCUUCAAAAUCAGGAAAUAAAGCUUCGUAUGCCAUCC